GCAUGCCAGAGGCUAGAGUCAUCUACCGCGCAUGCUGGAGGCUGGAGCCUACAGUGGCUCACCUCGCUGCUGCGGUUGGUGGCCGCGAGGGUGACUACAGCGCAGCCAGAAUGGUGAAAAGGUGGCAGAAUAGGCUUAUCUGACUUUGCCUGCCCAGUUGCUCCGUGCCAGGAGGAGGAGCCACUUAUUCCAUGCUGGAGGCUGGAGCUGGGGGCACCGCAGCUCACCUUGCUGUGGUUGGUGGUGGCGAUGGAGACUACAGAGCACCAGAGCGAGAGUGGUCACGGCUGAACAAUUUCAAGAAGCGAGUCGAUGUCUCAUCUCCCUAUCUUAUCUUGAAAAACCCGUGUACCUAAGUCGUGGAUGUGUCUGCUGCAUCCGCUGCAUCAGUUCACUUCUGAAGGAACCCCAUGAGGAAGGUGUAAUGUGCUCCUUUCGCUCUGUGGCUACUCAGAAGAAUGACAUCAGGCCCGAUUUCCAGCUGGGAAAGAUGGAUUCUAAAAUCAAGGAACUGGAGCCCCAGCUGACAAUUCUAUAUCAGAACCCAAAGACGCUGAAGUUCCAAGGAGUGGGCUGGCCUGUCCUGUAGAAGCUACCUCAUCGAUGUGCAGGCCCUGGAUGAGAAGCUGCUCAUCAUCAUCGCCCUGCAGUUCCUGCACGGCUACUACAAGCCCAUCCUGUUCGAGCCCAACCAGACCUGGCCCGGGCACGUGGCUGUGUGGCAGGACACGUGCUCCAUCGUGGCCAUCUUGCUAACAUCACGCAGAAGGUGCACCCCGUCAUCUGAUCUCUCACCAGCUACCCUUUGACUGCACCCAGGCUCUGGCCGUACCCAAGCCCAUAGGUGGGGUGGUGGUCUUUGUCGUCAGCUCGCUGUUAUACCUGAACCAGAGCAUUCCCCCGUACGGUGUGGCUCUCAGCAGCCUCACCACAGGCACCGCAGCUUUCCCGCUGUGCACCCAGCUGGGUGUGUGAAUCCCCCUGGACUGCGCCCAGGCCACCUUCAUCUCCCAUGACAAGAUGGUCAUCUCCCUCAAGGGCAGUCAGAUCUACAUGCUGACCCUCAUCACCGAUGGCAUGCGUAGCGUCCGAGUGUUCCACUUUUGACAAGGCGGCCACCAGCGUCCUCACCACCAGCAUGGUCACCAUGGAGCCUGGGUACCUGUUCCUGAGUUCUUGCCUGGGCAACUCUCUCCUCCUCAAGUACACCGAGAAGCUUCAGGAGCCCCCGGCCAGUGCUAUCUGUGAGGCUGCUGACAAGGAAGAGCCUCCCUCACAGAAGAAGCGAGUGGACACAUGGCCAGCUGGUCAGCCAGGGACAAAUCCGUGUCACAGGACGACAUGGACGAGAUUGAAGUGUACGGCAGCGACGCCCAGUCGGGCACACAGCUGGCCACCUACCUUUGAGGUGUGUGACAGCAUCCUUAACAUUGGACCCUGCACCAAUGCUGCCAUGGGUGAGCCUGCCUUCCUGUCUGAAGAGUUUCAGAACAACCCUGAGCCGGACCUGGAGAUUGUGGUUUGCUCCAGCCACAGGAAGAAUGGGGCUCUGUCGGUGCUGCAGAAGAGCAUCCAGCCCCAGGUGGUGACAACCUUUGAGCUUCCCGGCUGCUACGACAUGUGGACAGUCAUCGCCCUGGUGCCUAAGGAGGAGAAAGAGAAUCCCAAGGGGGAGGGCACGGAGCAGGAACCCAGCACCCCCGAAGCGGACAAUGACCACCGCAGACAGUGAUUCCUGAUUCUGAGCCAGGAAGACUCAACCAUAUUCCCGCAGAUGGGGCAGGAGAUCAUGGAGCUGGACACCAGUGGCUUUGCCACGCAGGGCCCCACGGUCUUUGCCGAAAACAUCGGGGACAACCACUACAUUGUCCAAGUGUCGCUGCUGGGCAUCCACCUGCUGGAAGGAAUGAAUCAGUUGUACUUCAUCCCUGUGGGCCUGGUCACCCGCAACAUGCAGUGCACUGUAGGCAACCCCUGCGUGGUCAUCAUGAGUGCCGACGGCCGCGUCACCAUGUUCCUGCUGAAAAGCACACUCCUAUAGUGGCUGCCACGACCACCUGGUGCUGCACAAGCCCCCGCUGCACCAUCAGCCCAACGUGAUCACGCUGUGCCUGUACCGAGACCUCAGUGGCAUGUUCACCACUGAGAGCUGCCUGAGCGGGGCUCACGAUGAGCUAGGGGGCCACAGUGGCUUGGAGGCCGAGAGCCUGGGCUCGGAGACUAGCCCCACAGUCGGUGAUGAGGAAAUGCUGUGUGGGGAUUUGGGAUCCCUCUUCAGUCCCAGCAAGGAGGUGGCCCGAAGAAGCAGCCAGCCCCUGCCGACUGGGACUCUGUACCCUUCCAGACAGAGCCCAUCCACUGGUGCCUGCUGUUGCAGGAGAAUGGCACCAUGGUGACCUGCCAGCUCCCCGACUGGCGGCUGGUGUUCUUGGUGAAGAACUUCCCUGUGGGGCAGCGGGUCCUCAUGGACAGCUCCUUUGGAGAGCCCACCACACAGGGCGAGGCCCGCAGGGAGGAGGCCAUGUGCCAGGAGGAGCUGCCUCUCUCGUCAAGGAGGUGCUGCUGGUUGUGCUGGGCAGCCGCCAGAGCACACCUUACCUGCUGGUGCAUGUGGACCAAAAGCUGCUUAUCUACAAGGCCUUCCCCCACGACUCUCGGCUCAGCCAGGGCAAUCUCAAAGUCCACUUUAAGAAGGUCCUUCACAACAUCAGCUUCCGUGAGAAGAAGCCGAAGCCAUCCAAGAAGAAAGCAGGUGGCCGCACAGAGGAGAGGGUCGGGCCCGGGGCCGCGUGGCGUGUUUCCACUACUUCGAGGACAUUUAUGGCUACUCAGGAGUGUUCAUCUGCGGCCCCUCACCUCACUGGCUCCUGGCGACAGACUGAGGGGUGCUGCGGCUGCACCCCGUGGGCAUCAAUGGCCCUGUCAACUCUUUCGCUCUGUUCCACAAUGUCAACUGUCCCCGCGGCUUCCUGUACUUCAACAGACAGGGCAAACUGAGGAUCAGCGUCCUUCCUGCCUACCUGUCCUAUGAUUCCCCGUGGCCUGUCAGGAAGAUCCCGCUGUGCUGCACGGUCCACUGUGUGGCUUACCAUGUGGAGUCCAAGAUGUACGCUGUGGCCACCAGCACCAACACACUGUGCACCUGCAUCCCACAUGACUGGCGAGGAGAAGGCAUUUGAGACCAUUGAGAGAGAUGAGCAGUGCAUCCACCCCCAGGAGGCGGCCUUAUCUAUCCAGUUCAUCUCCCUAGUCUGCUGGGAGGCUAUUCCCAAUGCCAGGAUUGAGCUGCAGAAGUGGGAGCUUGUGACCAGCACGAAGACAGUGUCGCUGCAGCAAGGAGACCAGGUCAGGCUUCAAAGGCUACGCGUGGCCGCCGGGACCUGCCUCAUGCAGGAGGAGGAGGAGGUCAUGUCCUGAGGGCGGAUCUUGAUCAUGGAUGUGACUGAGGUGGUGCCCGAGCCCAGCCAGCCCUUGACCAAGAACAAGUUCAGAGUCCUUUACGAGAAGGAGCAGAAGGGGCCCGUGACUGCCCUGUGCACUGCAAGGCCACCUGGUGUCGGCCAUCAGCCAGAAGAUUUUCCUGUGAAGCCUGCGGGCCAGCGAGCUGACGGGCAUGGCCUUCAUGGUCGACAGGCAGCUCUACAUCCACCAGAUGAUCAGCGUCAGGAACUUCAUCCUGGCAGCCGACCUCAUGAAGAGCAUCUGGCUGCUGUUACCAGGAGGAGAGCAAGACGCUGAGCCUCGUCAUGUGAUGCCAAGACCCUGGAGGUGUACAGCGUGGACUUCAUGGUAGACAACACCCAGCUGGGUUUUCUGGUGUCUGACCACGACUGCAGCCUCAUGGUGUACAUGUACCUGCCUGAAGCCAAGGAGAGUUUUGGGGGCAUGUGCCUGCUGCGCUGGGCAGACUUCCAUGUGGGUGCCCACAUGAACGCAUUCUAUAGGACCCUGUGCCAGGGAGCCACUGAGGGGCUCAGCAAAAAGUCAGUGGUGGGAGAAUAAGCAUAUCGCGUGGUUCGCCACCCAGGAUGGUGGCAUCGGGCUGCUGCUGCCCAUGCAGGAGAAAACCUACUGGAGGCUGCUGAUGCUGCUGAACGUGCUGCCACACCACACAGGCCUCAACCUCCGCACCUUCCGGAUGCUGCGUGUGGACCUCCGCACCCUCCAGAAUGCUGUGCUGCAAGCUGCACGGGGAGCUGCUCAACCGCUACCUGUACCUGAGCACCAUGGAGCAGCAAGCUGGCCAAGAAGAUCAGCACCAUAUCCGACAUCAUCCUGGAUGACUUGCUGGAGACAGAUGGCGUCACUGCCCACUUCUAGCUCCAUGGAUGUCGCUGCCACCACCACACCGCACUACCUCCCACCACCUUUUUUGAACAAAACACAAGGAAUAUAUACUUUCUGGAAGACCAUCUGAUACUAUGUAUCAAGAAUCUCAAAAAUAUUCAUAUACUAUAAUGCAAUAAGGCCAUUUCUAAAAAUUUACCCUGAGAAGAUAAUCCAGACCUGUGCUACAAUUUCCAUUACAGAGACAUCUGUUGUAAUAUUGUUUACGGAAGGGGGAAACAGAAAACAGCCUCCAUGUCCACAGAGGAAUGAUUAAAUAUGUGGUACACCUACAGGCUGGAGUGUAAAAUGGACACAAAAACAAGAAGAAAUGCUCAUGAGAAAACACAGUGAUAGACGCCUUUUCUAAACAGUUUCUGCUUUGUUUGGGACAACCCUCCAGGUCAUCCAAAAUGGAAGCUGAAUCAUAACAGGUGGACUACGUUUUGUAAAACUGAUUUGACACUAAGAAAACUUACUGAUUGAAAUGACUGAACUCUGCUCUUUCAAGAUAUUCCUUUUAAUUUUUUUGGCAAAGCUAGAUAUACUUUUUGAUUUGGAAUAAUAUAUCUCAAUGAAUUCAUUAAUAAGGUCAUAUAGUUCAUUUGUAUUCUGAUUCUAGGUAUAAAUUUUCACUUUUUAGAUUUUCUUAAGUUAUAAUUAUGCUUAUAAUUUGUUUUGGCAUCUCUUAUGACUAUCAAACUGAUGAUUUAAAAUACUUAUUCCCAAUGUAAGUGACAUGAUUUACUCACACUACAUUAUGAAAUAAUUUUUUCAUUCAAAAUUAAACUUCAGUUGUCCUUCUCUUUCUCUCCUUUUCUAAUCCAACAAAUCAGAUCUAUUUUUAUAUUUGUUUAUAUUUUUUAAUCAACUACACAUCCCUUUAAAUCUGUUUAUUGCUUUAGAAUUUGAAGGUUCAAAAAAGAGAAGGGCCUAUUAAGAAACUGUACAGAAGUUAGUACAUAUUUCUGGACACUUUCAAACAUGUAUUUCCUUAAGUCAACCUCUGAGUGUGAUCUUUUAAUAAAACUCAUGAGUCUCCCGGAAAUGAUAGGUUAGAAUAGAAAUUAUUUUAACUUCUGCUUUCUUAUAUGGAUUAAAAACUUGUGCAUAAUCGAAUUCAUAGAUUCUAAUAUAACAAAAUUAUCCUGAAAUUUCACUAAUAAAGGGGGAAAACUGUGAAGGAUUUUAAGCUCUCAUGAUGUUCAUCACUCUUGAAUAACAGAUGCUCAUAGAUUUCCGGUUUUAUGUAUUUACUUAUUUAUUUUUUUUGAGAUGGAGUCUCUCUCUGUUGCCCAGGCUGCAGUGCAGUGGCGCCAUCUUGGCUCACUACAACCUCCGCUUCCCGGGUUCAUGCCAUUCUCCUGCCUCAGCCUCCCGAGUAGCUGGGACUACAGGUGCCCGCCACCAUGCCUGGCUAAUUUUUUGUAUUUUUUAGUAGAGAUGGCGUUUCACCGUGUUAGCCAAGAUGGUCUCGAUCUCCUGACCUCAUCAUCUGCCCGCCUCGGCCUCCCAAAGUGCUGAGAUUACAGGCGUGAGCCACCGCGCCCAGCCCGAUUUCUGGUUUUAUUUUAAAGUUCUAUUUCAAAGGUCUAAAUCUCAAAGAAAGUCUAUCUUAAAAUUGAAUUAGGCAACUCAUAAAAACUUCCAUGACAUUCAUAUCACAUCUUCAGAGCUGUGGCCCACAGCUGGUUAGGCAGGGGGAAGGGAAAUGAAAGCAGACAGCUUUGGUGAAAGAAAGAGGUUUAGGGCCCCACUGGAUCAUCUCUUAUAUGGGACUACAAGAACUCCCUGGGUCUAGGUCACUUAGCGUGUUAGGGUCUACUGUGAAAAGACUUUGAGAACAUCUCUCUAAUUUUGAACUAUGACAACUAAGUUUCCAAAAGGGAGAACCUAAACCUUAGACCCCAAAUGGCUUUACAAAAUCAUUUGAGCUGUGAAUAAUCUCAUAGCAUAAUGGUGAAUCCCUAGGUUUAGUCUAACUUCGAUCAAGAUUCUGUAUUUGGGCCAAAAUUCAAACUGUUUAUGAGUGGUGUUUAUUCACUUUGUUUUUCUAUUCAUUGUUUGUUAUAAUAUGCACAUUUCUUAC
Molecule: long non-coding RNA, 6415 nt
Organism: Homo sapiens (human)
Lineage: Eukaryota; Metazoa; Chordata; Mammalia; Primates; Hominidae
Gene: SLC5A4-AS1
Product: SLC5A4 antisense RNA 1
Source: Ensembl